Molecule: ribosomal RNA, 694 nt
Filed under: uncultured archaeon
Lineage: Archaea
Description: bacterial SSU rRNA
Rfam family: Archaeal small subunit ribosomal RNA
Source: RNAcentral
GAGGAUUUCUGGAAUGGUUCCUGACUAAAAUCUAUAUGGCCUCUGGAUUGGACUGCGGCCGAUCAGGCUGUUGGUGAGGUAAUGGCCCACCAAACCUGUAACCGGUACGGGCUCUGAGAGGAGGAGCCCGGAGAUGGGCACUGAGACAAGGGCCCAGGCCCUAUGGGGCGCAGCAGGCGCGAAACCUCUGCAAUAGGCGAAAGCCUGACAGGGUUACUCUGAGUGACUUUCGCUAAGAAAGUCUUUUGGCACCUCUAAAAAGGGUGCAGAAUAAGGGGUGGGCAAGUCUGGUGUCAGCCGCCGCGGUAAUACCAGCACCCCGAGUGGUCGGGACGAUUAUUGGGCCUAAAGCAUCCGUAGCCGGUUCUGCAAGUCCCCCGUUAAAUCCAGCUGCUCAACAGAUGGGCCGCGGAGGAUACUACAGAGCUAGGAGGCAGGAGAGGCAAGCGGUACUCAGUGGGUAGGGGUAAAAUCCGUUGAUCCAUUGAAGACCACCAGUGGCGAAGGCGGCUUGCCAGAAUGCGCUCGACGGUGAGGGAUGAAAGCUGGGGGAGCAAACCGGAUUAGAUACCCGGGUAGUCCCAGCCGUAAACGAUGCAGACUCGGUGAUGGGUUGGCUUCGCGCUAACCCAGUGCCGCAGGGAAGCCGUUAAGUCUGCCGCCUGGGUAGUACGGUCGCAAGACUGAAACUUAA